Molecule: non-coding RNA, 406 nt
Organism: Salmo salar (Atlantic salmon)
Lineage: Eukaryota; Metazoa; Chordata; Actinopteri; Salmoniformes; Salmonidae
Source: RefSeq, a predicted model, not a curated record
UUUCAUCAAGUUAUGGCUCUGCGAUCACUUCCAUACCCUCACUGGUAUCGUGAUUGACAGUUGCCUGACUCAAGCUCUCCUGAACAAGGGUAAGAGAAUUGUCAACUUUUUUGAAAGCCAAAAGACCAAGUUGAGGAAAGAGAUCCAGUGCCUGAAGAAUGAAAUCGAUGGUUACAUCAGAGGAAAUGACGAUCUAACAGCCACUGCUGCCAUUCUUUUGUUGAUGACCCACUUCAAAGAGAAGGACAAAUCUCUGUUCCUCUUGGCAGAUGUCACUGGAACUUAAUAAGGCCCAAAUUCCUUUGCCAGACACAUCAAGGCUGAUCAUGCUUGGAAAUACUCUAUUGGGUUUCUCAAAACGGAUGGUGUCGAUCGAGGUGUUGGGGGUUACCCUGGGGGUCGGGUG